This 1304-nucleotide long non-coding RNA is filed under the name Rattus norvegicus (Norway rat). RNAcentral's name for it is "long non-coding RNA NONRATT021261". Lineage: Eukaryota; Metazoa; Chordata; Mammalia; Rodentia; Muridae. The record is from RNAcentral.
AAAAGCACAACAGUUUUGUUUUUUUUUAAAUGUAACAGGGAAGAUGUACAUUAGUGUAGGUGUCAUUCAGCACUCACUGAUUGUGUGUUACCGACGUGAAGUCUGUGAUUUUGUAUAAGCUAUGCAGAGUGAGCCUAGGGGUGGGAUUCCGGAGAACCGGGGGACCAGGCCGAGUCCCUCCCUCAGCCUAACCAGAUCAUUCUAGACAACUGGGUCAGUACAUUUAGACUAAUGCAAGCACUUACCUGCUUUCUUCCCUUCCUGGACCACAUGGUUUUAGAACAGGACUAUCCUACUGUCAUAGCUUUGGUUUGUAAGCCAAGAAAUUCUUGUUAUUUAUUUCUAACUUCAUAAUAGCAACCGUUGCCUAAACGUGUCGCAGAAUAUUUGAAAACUCCUGAUUAACUUUUUUUAGGGUGGGCAUUAGAUACCUUUUGUGCAUGACAUACAUCAAAGCCUCAUGUAUGGAAUCGAUUAACACGCAACAUAAAUGAAAUGUUCCUGCUGCCUUCCAUGGGAUGAGGCAACACUUAAAAUCUGAACCUAAAAUUUAGGUGGUUUGUAUAAAAGUCUAAAAGCAGUAUUUGCUAUUUUGUUAAAAGCUGGAAGCAAUUCAGAUACUUUGAGACUCUUACUGACCUUGUGGUACUGUGUCUUUCCGAAAACUGAAUGUAGUCCAUAAGGAGACAGGUCUUCUGUGUUCAGAGAAGUUUUGUAAACUUUUUAGAGUUCUGGUGCUUCUGUACUAACUCACACACAUCCAGCUUAUAUGUUUUAGCUUUUUUUUUUUUAAAAAGAUCUAGGGAUUAGAAAAUAAAUAUUGCAGGGUUUUGUUUUUUAAUACUGAAUAUAAGUACUCUUGGUUUGGCAUUGUGAAUUUUUUCUUUUUUGUAUUUGACAAAGCAAUAUAUCUGCAGAACAUACCAUGAAAUCCUUCCAGUUCGUUUUUUUUUUUUUUAGUCUUAACAUGUAAAAAAUUAAGUUUUUGCCAUUCAACACAGUAAUAUCAUGUCCUCUGGAUAUAUUUGAACAUGUAUAGACGUUAAGUUGCUUGACAACAGGCUAGCCCUUUGGGAGAUGGGUUUUCCAUUUGUAUAAACUGUUGGGAGGGAUAAGACUGGUGCUCUAACUGCUGUGGCUGCCGUGGGUUUUGCCUGGAUUCUGUCUUGUAUUGGCUGCACCGGCUGAACUCUGGAAGCAAUAACCGACUGUUUUCCGUUCACAUCAGCCUUAGAAGUGGAACAGUGCUCAUUUAAUGUUGAGAAUGAAUUCUCUUUAUUAAAAUCGAAACUCUUUAACACUGA